UGUGUGUUUGUGUGUGCGCGCGUGUGGAAAUUCACACAGCUUUGCCGUUUUGUUCGCGUGGAACGAGCACCCGGCCGGAGAAGAAGUCGGUUUUGGUCGUAUGAAACCGAAAAAAUGUUUAGAACAACAAUACGCAGUAAAUAAUAAUUGAUGCAAAUGAAAUACAAAAUAUACGGACAUAUACGGUAUAGUGUGAUGGAGACCGGACCUGCAGAUGCGGCUAAGCCGGACGGUCGCAGUGCGGUGGACGAUGAUGUAUACACGGAACGGAAUUAAAUCGUAAUCGUUAAAUCGCGUACACGCACGGACGGACGACAGCUAAAUUAAUAUAAAUCGCUGGCGUUUUAUUAUCAUGACCGACGUCGUCACUCUGUGUAUCGACGCCUCGGGCAAUUAAUAACAACAAAAAACGCAACACGAAUAUAUUUAUAAUAAUACGAUAUUCCUAUAAUCAAACGCACGGUCUGUAUGCGACUUCACGAAUCCGACGGCGUAUAGGACGAUUGUUCAGGCCCAGAUUCACACUGAUGCAAUGGGUGCGUGUGCACUUCGAUCCGAUACUCUGGGAACUCCAUAUUAUUUAAAACAAUAUUAUUUAAUUGUAAAUAUUUUGAUUUUUUUUUCUUUUUCAUUAAUAUGCUAAAUAUAUAUAUAUACCUAUGUUUUUAA
Molecule: long non-coding RNA, 669 nt
Organism: Rhopalosiphum padi (bird cherry-oat aphid)
Lineage: Eukaryota; Metazoa; Arthropoda; Insecta; Hemiptera; Aphididae
Exons: 2
Source: RefSeq, a predicted model, not a curated record